This 467-nucleotide ribosomal RNA is filed under the name uncultured bacterium. RNAcentral's name for it is "bacterial SSU rRNA". It matches the Rfam family "Bacterial small subunit ribosomal RNA", at positions 328 to 792 of the family's 1533-position model. The record is from RNAcentral.
UGCCCAGACUCCUACGGGAGGCAGCAGUGAGGAAUAUUGGUCAAUGGGAGAGAUCCUGAACCAGCCAAGCCGCGUGAGGGAAGACGGUCCUACGGAUUGUAAACCUCUUUUGCCGGGGAGCAACGGGGUCCUUGCGAGGGCCCGAUGAGAGUACCCGGAGAAAAAGCAUCGGCUAACUCCGUGCCAGCAGCCGCGGUAAUACGGAGGAUGCGAGCGUUAUCCGGAUUUAUUGGGUUUAAAGGGUGCGUAGGCGGACGCUUAAGUCAGCGGUAAAAUUGCGGGGCUCAACCUCGUCGAGCCGUUGAAACUGGCAGUCUCGAGUUGGAGAGAAGUAUGCGGAAUGCGCGGUGUAGCGGUGAAAUGCAUAGAUAUCGCGCAGAACUCCGAUUGCGAAGGCAGCAUGCCGGCUCCACACUGACGCUGAGGCACGAAAGCGUGGGUAUCGAACAGGAUUAGAUACCCUAGUA